GAUUGUCAUGUUCUCUGGAUUUAGGAAUGUGGAUGUAGGAUACUCCUCUUUUAUAAUUUUGUGGUUACUUGAUGCCAGGAUAGGGUCUUCAAGACUGUAUCACUACUAAAUAUUCAAGCUAGAUUGAACAUCUUGUUCAUCUCUUCCCAACAUUACUCAAAUGUGAUAGCUGAUUCUACUGCUCAAAAAUAAGUGCAGUCGCUUUGGUAGAGUUUUAUGUACUGACUAUCAUUGACAGUUAAUCUCCUCCUUUAUUCCAAGGCUGUGGUUUUCCCUCAUCAUUCUUGUAUGCACUUUUCUGUUCACUUUCAUAUUCGUCAAAAUCAAAGUACAUUUUCUGGUAAGUAGAAAUAUAAAUGAAUAGAGACUAUACAUUAUU
Long non-coding RNA from Telopea speciosissima, 379 nucleotides. RefSeq lists it as uncharacterized. NCBI's taxonomy places the organism in Eukaryota, Viridiplantae, Streptophyta, Magnoliopsida, Proteales, Proteaceae. The record is from RefSeq and is a predicted model, not a curated record. The transcript has 2 exons.